Molecule: ribosomal RNA, 254 nt
Filed under: uncultured bacterium
Lineage: Bacteria
Description: partial 16S ribosomal RNA
Rfam family: Bacterial small subunit ribosomal RNA
Source: RNAcentral
UACGUAGGGUGCGAGCGUUGUCCGGAAUUAUUGGGCGUAAAGAGCUCGUAGGCGGUCUGUCGCGUCGGCCGUGAAAACCUGCAGCUUAACUGUGGGCUUGCGGUCGAUACGGGCAUGACUGGAGUUCGGCAGGGGAGACUGGAAUUCCUGGUGUAGCGGUGAAAUGCGCAGAUAUCAGGAGGAACACCGAUGGCGAAGGCAGGUCUCUGGGCCACUACUGACGCUGAGAAGCGAAAGCAUGGGGAGCGAACAGG